Molecule: ribosomal RNA, 824 nt
Filed under: Arthrobacter sp.
Lineage: Bacteria; Bacillati; Actinomycetota; Actinomycetes; Micrococcales; Micrococcaceae
Description: bacterial SSU rRNA
Rfam family: Bacterial small subunit ribosomal RNA
Source: RNAcentral
CAGUCGAACGAUGAUCCGGUGCUUGCACCGGGGAUUAGUGGCGAACGGGUGAGUAACACGUGAGUAACCUGCCCUUGACUCUGGGAUAAGCCUGGGAAACUGGGUCUAAUACCGGAUAUGACUCCUCAUCGCAUGGUGGGGGGUGGAAAGCUUUUGUGGUUUUGGAUGGACUCGCGGCCUAUCAGCUUGUUGGUGAGGUAAUGGCUCACCAAGGCGACGACGGGUAGCCGGCCUGAGAGGGUGACCGGCCACACUGGGACUGAGACACGGCCCAGACUCCUACGGGAGGCAGCAGUGGGGAAUAUUGCACAAUGGGCGCAAGCCUGAUGCAGCGACGCCGCGUGAGGGAUGACGGCCUUCGGGUUGUAAACCUCUUUCAGUAGGGAAGAAGCGAAAGUGACGGUACCUGCAGAAGAAGCGCCGGCUAACUACGUGCCAGCAGCCGCGGUAAUACGUAGGGCGCAAGCGUUAUCCGGAAUUAUUGGGCGUAAAGAGCUCGUAGGCGGUUUGUCGCGUCUGCCGUGAAAGUCCGGGGCUCAACUCCGGAUCUGCGGUGGGUACGGGCAGGCUAGAGUGAUGUAGGGGAGACUGGAAUUCCUGGUGUAGCGGUGAAAUGCGCAGAUAUCAGGAGGAACACCGAUGGCGAAGGCAGGUCUCUGGGCAUUAACUGACGCUGAGGAGCGAAAGCAUGGGGAGCGAACAGGAUUAGAUACCCUGGUAGUCCAUGCCGUAGACGUUGGGCACUAGGUGUGGGGGACAUUCCACGUUUUCCGCGCCGUAGCUAACGCAUUAAGUGCCCCGCCUGGGGAGUACGGCCGCAAGGC